This 468-nucleotide ribosomal RNA is filed under the name uncultured bacterium. RNAcentral describes it as "partial 16S ribosomal RNA". It matches the Rfam family "Bacterial small subunit ribosomal RNA", at positions 28 to 507 of the family's 1533-position model. The record is from RNAcentral.
GACGAACGCUGGCGGCGUGCUUAACACAUGCAAGUCGAACGGAAAGGCCCUGCUUUUGUGGGGUGCUCGAGUGGCGAACGGGUGAGUAACACGUGAGUAACCUGCCCUUGACUUUGGGAUAACUUCAGGAAACUGGGGCUAAUACCGGAUAGGAGCUCCUGCUGCAUGGUGGGGGUUGGAAAGUUUCGGCGGUUGGGGAUGGACUCGCGGCUUAUCAGCUUGUUGGUGGGGUAGUGGCUUACCAAGGCUUUGACGGGUAGCCGGCCUGAGAGGGUGACCGGCCACACUGGGACUGAGAUACGGCCCAGACUCCUACGGGAGGCAGCAGUGGGGAAUAUUGCACAAUGGGCGGAAGCCUGAUGCAGCAACGCCGCGUGCGGGAUGACGGCCUUCGGGUUGUAAACCGCUUUCGACUGUGACGAAGCGUGAGUGACGGUAAUGGGUAAAGAAGCACCGGCUAACUACGUG